This is a long non-coding RNA of Notolabrus celidotus (New Zealand spotty), 2645 nucleotides long. RefSeq lists it as uncharacterized. The record is from RefSeq and is a predicted model, not a curated record. The transcript is spliced from 2 exons. NCBI's taxonomy places the organism in Eukaryota, Metazoa, Chordata, Actinopteri, Labriformes, Labridae.
ACCUAUUCCGCCAAAAAGUGCAGUGUCAGUGAGGCGUGGGCAACGUGGAGCUUGAGAGAUGAGUGAGCCCUUGACCCCACGUGUGCACUGAUUGAUUGACAUCUGACGUAGGCAAUGUGGACAGCUUUUUUUCUUACUUCCCACGCAUCCAUUGGAUAAGAAAGUCCACAACGUACACUUUGGAAAACGAGAGCAAAUCAAAUGCGGGAUAAGUGAGUAAAAUGCUGUGCAGUCACAAAUCGGGACACCUGGGCGCCCUGCCCAGAAGACGCAUCUGGCUCUUAAAGAGAAAAUCAUGGGUGCUCUCUGCUCUCCCUGGAGAACAUCUCCCGUUCUCAGUGCAUCUGCAGAGCAAGGAAAAUCACACACGACCCCUCCCACCCAGGACACUCACUGUUCACUUCACUGAUAGGCGACACAUGAGUGUUAGAAGCAGAACUCGGACAUAGCUCAACAGUUCAAGUCUCCUAUGUAAUAUUUUAUUUUCAUGAUGCGCCAAAUGUUUUCAAUGGGUGGCAAAUUGGGACUGCAGGUAUUCCGGAUUAGCACCCUGACUCUUUCUCUACACAGCCACACUGUUGUAAUGCAUGCAGAAUGUGGUGUUAAAUAUGCAAGGUCUUCCUUGAGUCCCUGAAAAAUGCAUCGUCUGUAUUGCAGCAUACGUUACUCCGAAACCUGUAUAUGUUUACCUGUACAAUAAUGGUGCUUUCCCAGAUGUGUAAGCUACCCUUGCCAUGCAUCCCUACACACACGGUUACUGGCUUUUGAAGUGUGAGCUGACAGCAAACUGGGUGGUCCCUCUCCUCUUUAGAAGGUAGGACACGGUGUCCAUGAUUUCCAGGAAGAAUGACAAUUUUUGAUUUGUCAGACCAGACCACAUUCUGAUUUUUUAAUGACAAAAUGUACAGUAGAUGAAGAAAUCUCCUAAUACUUUGCACUGCGGAACAUUAUUCUGAAACUGUUUAACUAUUUGUUCAUGCAGGCUCUUAGUGGUGAACCUCUUACCAUCUUUACUGUGAGACUAAGCCUCUCCAGAGUGUUUCUCUUUUUUUUAGCUUUACACAACUUUUCAUUGUUUAAUUAUCCCUACUCCAACUUUUUUUGAAAAGUGUUGCUGGCAUCAAACUUAAAAUGAGCUCACAAUUUUCAUGAAACAAUAACAUUUUUCACGACACUAACAUUUUUCAGUUUCAACAUUUAAUACCAUCAAACCAUCAAAAUCUGUUUUUAUCUACAUUUUACACAGCGUCCAAACCUGUUUCUGAACUUUAUUGAGCCUUUUUCAGGUUGUUCAAAUGAUUAUUAAUUAAUGUUUAAUUCCACUUAUUGUUUUUCUGUAUUUUUUAAGUGAUCUAACCUUUCUUUUUCGCUCUUCACAGUACUAGUCCAUCUCAUGUAUUUCUUUAUUUUUUUGAUUAAUUUAAUGAAAUGUGACUUCUUUUGAAAACACAUAUUUCUGUUGAGUAUUUCCUGGGGUGUAAGUCCUCAGGUGGCGUUGCUAGUUUAUUGUUUCCACCACUCCUAUCACAUCUACAUUACUGUGUCCAGUUCUCAGUCCUGUCUGUGUACACAGUUUAUUUUCAAAAUUGUGCAACACCUUAGAAAUUAGUUCAUUCUGUUGUGACAGAAGGGAGCUAUCGAUCAAUCUUUCAAGCUGAUAAGAGGCCAUGGCAUCCCUGCAUUAUCACAAAACCAUGAGUUGCUGAGUGCAUUUUUAUUUCUAACCGACAAUAACUCAGAUUAUCAAAACCUUGAAAAUGUUCAGUAACUGUCAGAUAUGUUGGAGAAAUUCAAAAAGAUUCCUGUGGACCCCACUUUUUACUUUUUCUUCUUGUACAUUACUAUAGCAUCAUUCUCUGUGUUUUACAGGAUGGUUAAGUCCUUUUUAAGUCUAAGUUUCAAACAGUUCUUCACAAUAUUGUCCAUGUUGACAGAGGAAAUCUAGAGUUGGAUGUAAAGUCACUUGUUUUCAGAUUUUUUUUCCCACCAGAUUUUUAUCUUCAGCAUGUUUCAUCUCUUUUGUGAGUCUGAAAGUAAUUGCCUGGGAUUCAAGACUGUCCCUGGACAUACCCAAGACUCAGAGGUGAGGAAAUACCUUAUUCAUAAUUUCAAGGUUUGACAGAGUCAUAAAUUGUGCAUCUGAACAUGUCAGAGUUGAAGGUGCUUUGACCUUACUGAGGUGAGACAUGAUGGCCCACAGGCUCUCUGGCUCUGUGAAUGUGGCCAUGCUGCAGUAGACCACACCACAUGAUUCCCAUGAUCAUUACCACAGCUUGGUAGGUGGCUGCUUGUCUGCAUCUGUGCUGGAGUCGAUGUCGGUGUCUCUGGAGCUUUUCUGUGUGUGUUUUAGAGACUUACAAUAUUACAUUGCUGUCCUACAUGAUGGUGGCUUUUUUUUAAUUACAUAAUAAGUAAGAACCAUGCAGUUUAUUGAAUACUGGGUUUGAGGCUUUAGUCGCACAUACAACCACAUCACAGAACCUGCUGUUUUUACUCACAAGACCAAAACUUUACCUUGCUUUGUGGCUAAAAGUCUUGUAUUUAUGUUCUGCUACAAGGACAACAUCAUCCUGCAUUGCACAGGAACAAAAUACCCCAAAUGUAUGUAAGCCCUAAGCAGACAUUGAAUUAAACCUUUUAUUUAC